This 744-nucleotide long non-coding RNA is filed under the name Sander lucioperca (pikeperch). RNAcentral describes it as "lncRNA (ENSSLUG00000000545.1)". Lineage: Eukaryota; Metazoa; Chordata; Actinopteri; Perciformes; Percidae. The record is from RNAcentral.
GUUGAUGAUGAUGUGUUACAGCGUAUGGGUCUGCUACUGGGAGGACUGGGAGCUUUAACCAAACACUACGAGAGAGAAUCUGAGUCUGAAUCCAUUAUUACUGUCUGGGACCUUUCAGGAUUCUUACUGGGAAUACUGGGACUUCAUUAAAACGGUUUUUAGAAGGUUCUGCUUCUCUCACUUCCCAUAGUAAAAACAAACAAAGCAAACUUUUUGCAAGUAUUCUAGUCGAUUCUAACAGCAAGAUGAAUAUGCUACUACUGAGCUGUUUUUAAAAGUCGAUUGGAUGAGUUUUCAGGGAGAAGAUGAUCUGCAGCAUCCUGCUGCUCAUCAUCCUGACCUCCUGUGUCUCUGGAACAUUUGUAGUGAAUGUGACCCAGACCUCCUAUCAGGCAGAGGAGAACCACGACAUCACACUGGAGUGGACCUUCACAACCAACCCUCACAGUUCCUCCAACUCUCUUAAUAUCUUCUGUGAACUGUUAACUGAUCUCAGACCCUCAGUCCUGUUUCAUCUCCAUGAAGGAGUUGAGGUCCCAGAGUCUCAGGAUGAACAGUUUGCAGGACGAGUCCAGUGGGACAAAGACGUCCUCAGAGAAGGACGACUCAGACUUCAUGUGUCCAGACUCAGGACUGAAGACUCAGGACUGUACAAGUGUCAAGUGUUCACAAGUCAUGAGAGGAGCUCUGGUAAAUGUUGGCUCAAUGUCACUGGUAAGUUGAUUCAGGAAAACUGGAGUUUUU